AGUGUAGUAUAGUGGGUAAGGAGUUGGCCUUGCAACCUAAAGGUUGUAGGUUCGAUUCCCUCCUACACUG
Molecule: transfer RNA, 70 nt
Filed under: Anguilla anguilla (European eel)
Lineage: Eukaryota; Metazoa; Chordata; Actinopteri; Anguilliformes; Anguillidae
Rfam family: tRNA
About the family: Transfer RNA (tRNA) molecules are approximately 80 nucleotides in length.
Source: Rfam by way of RNAcentral